This 492-nucleotide ribosomal RNA is filed under the name uncultured bacterium. RNAcentral's name for it is "partial 16S ribosomal RNA". It matches the Rfam family "Bacterial small subunit ribosomal RNA", at positions 29 to 507 of the family's 1533-position model. The record is from RNAcentral.
AGUGAACGCUGGCGGUAGGCCUAACACAUGCAAGUCGAACGGCAGCACAGUAAGAGCUUGCUCUUACGGGUGGCGAGUGGCGGACGGGUGAGGAAUACAUCGGAAUCUACUUUUUCGUGGGGGAUAACGUAGGGAAACUUACGCUAAUACCGCAUACGACCUACGGGUGAAAGCAGGGGAUCUUCGGACCUUGCGCGAUUGAAUGAGCCGAUGUCGGAUUAGCUAGUUGGCGGGGUAAAGGCCCACCAAGGCGACGAUCCGUAGCUGGUCUGAGAGGAUGACCAGCCACACUGGAACUGAGACACGGUCCAGACUCCUACGAGAGGCAGCAGUGGGGAAUAUUGGACAAUGGGCGCAAGCCUGAUCCAGCCAUACCGCGUGGGUGAAGAAGGCCUUCGGGUUGUAAAGCCCUUUUGUUGGGAAAGAAAAGCAGCAGGUUAAUACCCCGCUGUUCUGACGGUACCCAAAGAAUAAGCACCGGCUAACUUCGUG